GAUAGUGUCAAAGUUUGGCUACUAGCUUCUAAAAUACAACUACAUUUGCCAAUUCGACCUCAAAUCAGGUAGGACUACCCGCUGAACUUAAGCAUAUCAAUAAGCGGAGGAAAAGAAACUAACAAGGAUUCCCCUAGUAACUGCGAGUGAACCGGGAAAAGCUCAAAUUUUGAAUCUGGCAGUCUUUUAUUGGCUGUCCGAGUUGUAAUCUAGAGAAGUGUUUUCCGCGCUGGAUCCGUGUACAAGUCUCCUGGAAGGGAGCAUCAUAGAGGGUGACAAUCCCGUCUUUGACAUGGACUUUUUACCAGGGCUAUGUGAUGCACUCUCGACGAGUCGAGUUGUUUGGGAAUGCAGCUCAAAUAGGGUGGUAAACUCCAUCUAAAGCUAAAUACAGGCGAGAGACCGAUAGUGAACAAGUACCGUGAGGGAAAGAUGAAAAGAACUUUGGAAAGAGAGUUAAACAGUACGUGAAAUUGCUGAAAGGGAAACGCUCAAAGUCAGUCACGUCGUUCGGGGAUCAACCCUGCUUUGUGGGGUGUACUUCCCUGAUUCGAUGGGUCAGCAUCGAUUUCGGCUGUUGGAUAAGAUCGGGAGGAAUGUGAGACUCUUCGGAGUGUGUUAUAGCCUCUCGGGAUGGAUACAACGGGAUUUCGGAAUCGAGGGAAAAAACAUGUUUCUUUUUUGCAUGUGAUGCUGGCAUAAUG
This 704-nucleotide ribosomal RNA is filed under the name uncultured Boletales. RNAcentral describes it as "eukaryotic LSU rRNA". It matches the Rfam family "Eukaryotic large subunit ribosomal RNA", at positions 1 to 636 of the family's 3401-position model. The record is from RNAcentral. Lineage: Eukaryota; Fungi; Basidiomycota; Agaricomycetes; Boletales.